GUGAGGAAUAUUGCGCAAUGGAGGCAACUCUGACGCAGCCAUGCCGCGUGCAGGAAGAAGGCGCUACGCGUUGUAAACUGCUUUUAACCGGGAAGAAACCCCAGGACGUGUCCUGGGUUGACGGUACCGGAGGAAUAAGCACCGGCUAACUUCGUGCCAGCAGCCGCGGUAAUACGAAGGGUGCAAGCGUUAUCCGGAUUCAUUGGGUUUAAAGGGUGCGUAGGCGGAGCGUUAAGUCAGUGGUGAAAUCCUGCAGCUUAACUGUAGACUUGCCAUUGAUACUGGCGCUCUUGAGUGCGCUUGAAGUGGGCGGAAUGUGCCGUGUAGCGGUGAAAUGCUUAGAUAUGGCACAGAACACCAAUUGCGAAGGCAGCUCACUAAGGCGAUACUGACGCUGAGGCACGAAAACGUGGGGAUCGAACAGGAUUAGAUACCCUGGUAGUCC
Molecule: ribosomal RNA, 445 nt
Filed under: uncultured bacterium
Lineage: Bacteria
Description: partial 16S ribosomal RNA
Rfam family: Bacterial small subunit ribosomal RNA
Source: RNAcentral